UACGUAGGGGGCAAGCGUUGUCCGGAUUUAUUGGGCGUAAAGAGCGUGUAGGCGGCUUGGUAGGUCCGCUGUGAAAACUCGAGGCUCAACCUCGAGAUGUCGGCGGAAACCACUUGGCUAGAGUCCGGAAGAGGAGAGUGGAAUUCCUGGUGUAGCGGUGAAAUGCGCAGAUAUCAGGAAGAACACCUAUGGCGAAGGCAGCUCUCUGGGACGGUACUGACACUGAGGAGCGAAAGCCAGGGGAGCAAACGGG
This 253-nucleotide ribosomal RNA is filed under the name uncultured bacterium. Its description in RNAcentral is "partial 16S ribosomal RNA". It matches the Rfam family "Bacterial small subunit ribosomal RNA", at positions 524 to 776 of the family's 1533-position model. The record is from RNAcentral.